UGAACGCGAAGAACCUUACCAGGUCUUGACAUCCUCUGACACUCCUAGAGAUAGGACUUUCCCCUUCGGGGGACAGAGUGACAGGUGGUGCAUGGUUGUCGUCAGCUCGUGUCGUGAGAUGUUGGGUUAAGUCCCGCAACGAGCGCAACCCUUGAUCUUAGUUGCCAGCAUUUAGUUGGGCACUCUAAGGUGACUGCCGGUGACAAACCGGAGGAAGGUGGGGAUGACGUCAAAUCAUCAUGCCCCUUAUGACCUGGGCUACACACGUGCUACAAUGGAUGGUACAAAGGGCUGCGAAACCGCGAGGUUUAGCCAAUCCCAUAAAACCAUUCUCAGUUCGGAUUGUAGGCUGCAACUCGCCUACAUGAAGCCGGAAUCGCUAGUAAUCGCGGAUCAGCAUGCCGCGGUGAAUACGUUCCCGGGUCUUGUACACACGCA
This 438-nucleotide ribosomal RNA is filed under the name bacterium CPTAC23. Its description in RNAcentral is "bacterial SSU rRNA". It matches the Rfam family "Bacterial small subunit ribosomal RNA", at positions 956 to 1394 of the family's 1533-position model. The record is from RNAcentral.